GGGGAGUUCCCGUCGUGGCUCAGUGGUUAACGAAUCCAACUAGGAACCAUGAGGUUGAGGGUUCAAUCACUGGCCCCGUUCAGUGGGUUAAGGAUCCGUGAGCUGUGGUGUAGGUUGCAGACACAGCUCGGAUCCAGCGUUGCUGUGGCUCCGGUGUAGGCUGGCAGCUACAGCUCCGAUUAGACCUCCUAGCCUGGGAACCUCCACAUGCUGUGGAUGUGGCCCCAGAAAAGACCGAAACAAAACAAAACAAAACAAAACAAAACAAAAAUAACCAAAAGCCUUUAGGGAGUUUCCUUUGUGGCUCAGCAGUCAAUGAACCUAAGAUCCACGAGGAUGUGGGUUUGAUCCCUGGCCUCGCUCAGUGAGUGGGUUAAGGAUCUGGUGUUGCCGUGAGCUGUGGUGUAGGUUGCAGAUGUGGCUCAGAUCCUGCAUUGCUGUGGCUGUGGUAUAGGCCAAUGGCUACAGCUCUGAUUUGACCUCUAGCCUGGGAGCUUCUAUAUGCCCCAGGUGUUGCCCUAAGAAGCCAACCAAAAAAAAGAAAAAAAAAAAAAAAGCCUUUAAUCCAUCGCCACCAGAGUUCCCGUCGUGGCUCAGUGGUUAACGAAUCUGACUAGGAACUAUGAGGUUGCAGGUUUGAUCCCUGGCCUUGCUCACUGGGUUAAGGAUCUGGGCAUUGCUGUGAGCUGUGGUGUAGGUCGCAGACGCGGCUUGGAUCUGUGCUGUGGCUCUGGUGGAGGCCAGUGGCUAUAGCUUCGAUUGGACCCCUAGCCUGGGAACCUCCAUAUGCCGCGGGAGCGGCCCUCAAAAGGCAAAAACACACACAAAAAUAAAUAAAUAAAAUAAAAUCUAUCGCCACCAUCAAAAUUGAGUUAUUUUAGUAAACCUUGAUGUCUGGCUUCUCUCUCAAACUGAAAGAUGUGGCCAUCCUAAGCCCUCAUUCCUGAGGCAAAAAGUCAUCUCCCAGUUCACAGCAGCCCUCCUGGGCCCUUGCAAGAUUUGACCCCUUAAGUCAGAAGCCGCCUUGUCCUGGCUGCAGGACCCCACCAUGAACACCUAGGCUAGGCAACCUUGAGGACACAUCCUGGACCCUAGCUCAUCCUCGGUAAAACAUGCGCUGGUAGCGUGGAUGCGUUAGUCCUCCAGGUAUGGGACAGGGGGUGGUGGUUGUGUACCCCCCGCAACCCCCGCCCAUUGCAGCGUCCCCCUGCACCAAGAGCGCACGGUCAGCUCAGAAGUGGUCGGUCCCUGCCCAGAGGCCACAUUUGCCUGCGCUUCCACCCCAGCCCUGCCCCCCACCCCCGACCCCGCCCGCACACGUCUGCAGGGCGCGGGCGCCCUCUGCUGGUCCACAGCGGGCACGCAAGCUAGAGCCAGAACCCAGGCACCUGGAGGGAGUACCUGGGAGGUUUCUCUGCGGUGGAAUGGGGUGAUUUAACAGUAGCUAAGUAACGUUUACUGAGGGUUUGCUCUGUGCUGAGGAUUGUGAGAAUCUCACUACACGUAAAACCUCACGUAAUUCUUAGAACAAUCCUGUGAAGUGGAUACAGAGAGGCCCGUGGCCACACAGCUGGUAGACGUGGAAGUGGGUUGGCGCACCUGACUCCAGGGCCUGCGCUGGCACCCCCUGAGAUGGAGAGGUUACCUGAAGAUCUCACCUCCGCUCACUCACAGGACCCUCGUGGCUGGUGAAGGUGGCCACUUACUGGCUGACCUGGCCAAGCCACACACAAACCACUGGUCGGUCUAUGCUUCCAAUGAGAAUCUCAGACAGUAAGAACUCCUUCGCUUGAGGCACAUUUACUAAUCAGUAGGAGAAAGUAAUGAAGAUGACAUAAUUGAGGGUGGAAGAAGGCUUUUCAACUUAAGACAACCUUGCACGUAAAAUGCACGUGAAACUAUAAAGUAGUUCAGCUGAAAGAUGGGCAAAUAAGAGGUAUAAGAGAAAGGGAGAGGAGAAGCUGUCCUACAUUGCUGGUAGGAAGGUAAGUUGAUAUGACUUUGGGAGGCAACUUGAAAAUGACAAAGCUGGAGUUCCCGUCAUGGUGCAGCGGAAACGAAUCCGACUAGGAACCAUUAGGUUGUGGGUUCGAUCCCUGGCCUCGCUCAGUGGGUUAAGGAUCCAGAGUUGCUGUGAGCUGUGUAGGUUGCAGAUGUGGCUCGGAUCUGGCGAUGCUGUGGCUGUGGUGGAGGCCAGUGGCUACAGCUCCGAUUAGACCCCUAGCCUGGGAACCUCCAUAUGCCGCAGGUCGGCCCUCAAAAGACAAAAGAAAAAAAAAAAUGACAAAGCUAAACAUGCCCAUGUCCUUGAACAGGGCAGUCCACACUUCCAGGACUUUUUGUCUUUCUUAGAGCCGCAUCUGUGGCAUAUGGAGGUGCCCAGGCUAGGGGUCUAAUUGGAGCUGUAGCUGCUGGCCUACGCCAGAGCCACAGCAACUCGGGAUCCGAGCUGAGUCUGUGCCCUACAUCACAGCUCACGGCAACGCCGGACCCUUAACCCACUGAGUGAGGCCAGAGAUUGAACCCGCAUCCUCAUGGAUCCUAGUCGGGUUUGUUAACCGCUGAGCCACGAAGGGAACUCCUUAAAUUUUUUUUUUUUUUUUUUUUUUUGGCUGCGCCUGCAGCAGGUGUAAGUUCCUGGGCCAGGGAUUAAACCUGCACCACAGCAGUGACCCAAGCCACAGGAGGCAACGCCAGGUCCUUAACUGCUAGGAUCCUCAACCAGGGAACUUUAGCAGGUUAAUUUCUUUAGCAGGGGAUGUCCGAUGGUUUCCAUCCUUCACUGCCAGGGUGGCCACCACCUCUGUCCUUAUCACCCCUGACAAGACACCCUACUUCUCAAUCCAAUCUAAAAUGGACACUUUCACAUCUUAACAUUUCUGGAACUGGGGCAUUCCUCAGAAACAGGAGUGUCUUACCCUUAUGAUUGGCAGCGUUUUUUCCUGGCCAGUGUACAUAAAAUAAAGCAUCUCACAGCAGACAGCGUCUCAGACUCAAUGAAACGUGGGUCUGUUUCCCAUGGAUCCUGCGGCAACUCUGCAUUACUUGGCACCUUCUACCUGUGUCACAGGUGGUGCUGCCCGGGCUCUGAGGACCCACCACCUGUCCCCAGGCAGAGCUUCCAGGACUGCAGGCUUCCCAAAAGUCAAAGGCUACCAAGAUGAAAAUCUUGGGACAAGGUACAGCUGGUGACAGAGCCUCAUUGUUCAGAGAAUUCAACUGUGGCCUGCAAACUGCGAUGGUACUUUCUUCUACGUGGGAAUGAAAAGAAGUUGUCAGUUUGACACACUAACGUUAGGAGAUUUCACAUAAAAAUCUGUAUCAGAAAGAUUACACCUAAAAUUAGUAUGAUACAAAUGAACUACAUUUCAAUUAAAAAAAAAAAAAAAGACUGGGGUCCCCUGGUGACCUGGUGGUUAAAAACUUGGUGUGGUUGGAGUUCCCACUGUGGCUCAGUGGAAAUGAAUCUGACUAGCAUCCAUGAGGACACAGGUUCGAUCCUUGGUCUUGCUCAGUGGGUUAAGGAUAACGGCAUUGCUGUGAGCUGUGGUAUGGGUCGGAGAUGUGGCUCGGAUCCUGCGUUGCUGUGGCUGUGGUGUAGGUGGAUGACUACAGCUCUGAUUCAACCCCUAACCUGGGUACCUCCAUAUGC
This 3652-nucleotide long non-coding RNA is filed under the name Sus scrofa (pig). Its description in RNAcentral is "lncRNA (ENSSSCG00000052172.1)". Lineage: Eukaryota; Metazoa; Chordata; Mammalia; Artiodactyla; Suidae. The record is from RNAcentral.